Molecule: transfer RNA, 68 nt
Filed under: Rhinopodisma eminifrontus
Lineage: Eukaryota; Metazoa; Arthropoda; Insecta; Orthoptera; Acrididae
Description: tRNA-Thr
Source: RNAcentral
GUUUUAAUAGUUUAAAAAAACACUGGUGUUGUAAACCGGAAAUAAGAUCUGCCCCCACUUUAAACACU